GGGGAGCCGGAGGGAAACCGAGUCUUAAUUGGGCGUUAAGUUGCAGGGUAUAGACCCGAAACCCGGUGAUCUAGCCAUGGGCAGGUUGAAGGUUGGGUAACACUAACUGGAGGACCGAACCGACUAAUGUUGAAAAAUUAGCGGAUGACCUGUGGCUGGGGGUGAAAGGCCAAUCAAACCGGGAGAUAGCUGGUUCUCCCCGAAAGCUAUUUAGGUAGCGCCUCGUGAAUUCAUCUCCGGGGGUAGAGCACUGUUUCGGCUAGGGGGCCAUCCCGGCUUACCAACCCGAUGCAAACUGCGAAUACCGGAGAAUGUUAUCACGGGAGACACACGGCGGGUGCUAACGUCCGUCGUGAAGAGGGAAACAACCCAGACCGCCAGCUAAGGUCCCAAAGUCAUGGUUAAGUGGGAAACGAUGUGGGAAGGCCCAGACAGCCAGGAUGUUGGCUUAGAAGCAGCCAUCAUUUAAAGAAAGCGUAAUAGCUCACUGGUCGAGUCGGCCUGCGCGGAAGAUGUAACGGGGCUAAACCAUGCACCGAAGCUGCGGCAGCGACGCUUAUGCGUUGUUGGGUAGGGGAGCGUUCUGUAAGCCUGUGAAGGUGUGUCGUGAGGCAUGCUGGAGGUAUCAGAAGUGCGAAUGCUGACAUAAGUAACGAUAAAGCGGGUGAAAAGCCCGCUCGCCGGAAGACCAAGGGUUCCUGUCCAACGUUAAUCGGGGCAGGGUGAGUCGACCCCUAAGGCGAGGCCGA
RNAcentral lists this ribosomal RNA (749 nucleotides) under Salmonella enterica subsp. enterica serovar Paratyphi B var. L(+) tartrate +. RNAcentral describes it as "partial 23S ribosomal RNA". It matches the Rfam family "Bacterial large subunit ribosomal RNA", at positions 660 to 1405 of the family's 2925-position model. Lineage: Bacteria; Pseudomonadati; Pseudomonadota; Gammaproteobacteria; Enterobacterales; Enterobacteriaceae. The record is from RNAcentral.